AUUUUUAUAUUAUUUAAAGUCGUAUUUAAAUAUAUUUAUUUUAAUGAUGAUAUAUAAUUUACUAUCAUAUUUUAAAAAGUUUAUCAAAAAUAUAAAUAAAUAUUAAAUGUAAUUGUUCAUGUUACAUUGAAGAUUAAAUUUAUCGGUAUCAGUGAGUAUAUAAUACUACUACCAAUGGGUUACGGCAAUUGAAAAGUUUACCAAAAACACCUAAUAAGUAAUUGAACAAUGCUAAUCAAGAAAUAAAUAUCGUAAAUAUUCACUUAGUCAUUCUUAUCUACCUAACUCAUAGAUCACAAAACGACUACUCACUCAUCUUCAUGACAAUCAUUAAACUUGCUUUAAAGAUCCAAGAGAUUCAAGUUUCACAAGUUUUUAAGAGAGAAAAUGAAAUAGAUCUAGGUUUUUAUUAGAAAAAAUAUAUAGAAGGCUAAAACAAACACAAACUCCAUUUUUUGAAACGCAAACGUCAAAAGCAGCGACCUUAUUUUGACUGCGUUUGCCACUGAUGGACCAGCGAUCGACCGUAUAAAAUUGUGCAGAUUGAUCUGUCGAUCGAUCGACCAUAUCACGCUAUGGUAUGCCGUUUACCUCAAAUUCUUCAUCCUCGACAUGAAUCCGACGUGGUGGCCAGCUGGUCGUCCUCGCUUCAGUCUUCUCGUAGAAAGCUCGAGCAACAAUGGUGAGUUUUCUCCUUUUUGCGCGUUUGGUCCUUCAACUCUUUUGUUAUUCUCAAUUUAACCCCUAACUAUAAAAUUGUGCAGAUCGAUCUUCGAAUUCAGCCUCAAACUUUCGAGUUAGAACUCUAGCCCAAGUCCCCUUGCAUUUAGCUCUGACCCCAAUUUGGCUCCAAACUCAUGAAAUUGCAGAUAUCCUCUUAGUUUGACCCCAAACUUCCAAAAGUGCAAUCUAGACCAUGUCAAAUGUAAAUUAACAAAUAUAUGCACCAAAAUUUUAUAAUUGCAAUCUAAAUGAUUAAAAUGGGCUAAAUGAGAUGCUAAAUAUUAUUAAAAUCAUAACAUAUCAGUCAUGUUAAGUAUAACAGUGUUUAACAUGUUUUGAAAAUUAGUAUAUAAUAGAGAAAUAGUUUGAACAACUGAUUUACAAUGUUCUGAAAAUUGGUUUAUAACAGAAAUAUACUUUGAACAACUGAUUCAAAUUUGAAAAUCGUUAUAUAACAAAGCAAUAUGAUGACCAAUUGCUUAUAUUGUUAAUAAGAGUUCAAAAUUACAUAAUUUGUAAUUAGAUUAAGAAGAAACAUAAACUUAAUAAGUUUGGAAUUGCAUAAUUUGAUUAAGAAGAAAUAUAAACUUAAAGUAUAUUGUCUUUGGGUUUUCGUGACAAUAACAAUCCACAUAAAAUGAUGCAGGUGUCCGAGCCACAAAACCCAAAGGAAUGUUGAACAUGUCCAAUACCAUGUAGACCGAAGAACGUUCUGAAAUCUCAUUGAGUCGCUUGCAUGUCAGUUAGACAGUGGCAAGAUCUGUGAUGGAGUUUCUGGAACACUUUCUUUGUAGUUCAUAUGGUAACAAAAACAAACUUGAAUCUGCCAACAAAAUAAACUUUUGUCACAAAAAAAAGAAUGAGACAACGAAGAGAAUUGUUAUCUUUU
This 1612-nucleotide long non-coding RNA is filed under the name Brassica napus (rape). RNAcentral describes it as "long non-coding RNA (BNAP_LNC009490)". The record is from RNAcentral. Lineage: Eukaryota; Viridiplantae; Streptophyta; Magnoliopsida; Brassicales; Brassicaceae.